GAACGCUGGCGGCAUGCUUUACACAUGCGAGUCGGACGGCAGCACAGAGAAGCUUGCUUCUUGGGUGGCGAGUGGCGAACGGGUGAGUAACAUAUCGGAACGUACCGAGUAAUGGGGGAUAACUAAGCGAAAGAUUAGCUAAUACCGCAUAUUCUCUGAGGAGGAAAGCAGGGGACCUUCGGGCCUUGCGUUAUUCGAGCGGCCGAUAUCUGAUUAGCUAGUUGGUGGGGUAAAGGCCUACCAAGGCGACGAUCAGUAGCGGGUCUGAGAGGAUGAUCCGCCACACUGGGACUGAGACACGGCCCAGACUCCUACGGGAGGCAGCAGUGGGGAAUUUUGGACAAUGGGCGCAAGCCUGAUCCAGCCAUGCCGCGUGUCUGAAGAAGGCCUUCGGGUUGUAAAGGACUUUUGUCAGGGAAGAAAAGGCUGUCGCUAAUACCGACAGUUGAUGACGGUACCUGAAGAAUAAGCACCGGCUAACUACGUGCCAGCAGCCGCGGUAAUACGUAGGGUGCAAGCGUUAAUCGGAAUUACUGGGCGUAAAGCGAGCGCAGACCGUUACUUAAGCAGGAUGUGAAAUCCCCGGGCUCAACCUGGGAACUGCGUUCUGAACUGGGUGACUAGAGUGUGUCAGAGGGAGGUAGAAUUCCACGUGUAGCAGUGAAAUGCGUAGAGAUGUGGAGGAAUACCGAUGGCGAAGGCAGCCUCCUGGGAUAACACUGACGUUCAUGCUCGAAAGCGUGGGUAGCAAACAGGAUUAG
This 761-nucleotide ribosomal RNA is filed under the name uncultured Neisseria sp. RNAcentral's name for it is "bacterial SSU rRNA". It matches the Rfam family "Bacterial small subunit ribosomal RNA", at positions 31 to 781 of the family's 1533-position model. The record is from RNAcentral. Lineage: Bacteria; Pseudomonadati; Pseudomonadota; Betaproteobacteria; Neisseriales; Neisseriaceae.